GACCCUCUUAGUAAAUCCAGAGAACUAUUUUUCUGUCUUGUUUUGAGGAUCUUGAUCCUUGGGUCGACUCAUGCUUUCCUUGGGUCGACCCAACUCACUGUUCAUCUUUGCCAUUUUUGCAGAAGUGUGCCAAAUAUUUUCUUGAUGUGCCGGGGUCGACCCAAUCAUCCUUUGGGUCGACUCAAUCCACACUUUGCUGCAUCUCAAGAUUAGAUUCAUUCAAAUGAACAAUGAAAUGUAUCUAUAUCAAUUAAUACAAAAUAUACUGAGAGUAAUAAACUUAUAAAUGAAGUAUCGGUUUAACUUAUAACAUACUCUAGAUAAUUGCUUGUUAAUCAUCAAAAUAACACUAUCAUCCUCUAUCUCCCCCUUUUUGAUGAUUACAAAAUAAAGAGUAUGAGCCUAUUGAUACUUAUCUUAAAUUCAGUUUUUGAAAGGGUUUAACUUGCUGAAUUUCAGCUUUUCAUAUAUAAGAGUGAAGUCUCCCCCUAUAUCAUUUAAAUGUUGCCAAUUUGACUUUUUGUGUUACUCCCCCUUUCAUUUAUAAUUCAUUAAAGAUGNNNNNNNNNNNNNNNNNNNNNNNNNNNNNNNNNNNNNNNAUGUAUCGAGGUGUGAAAGGUGCGUGCCAAAUUCUAAAUUUAUGUGUGCCAAAUUCUGAAAUUUGAUAUAAAUUGUUGAGUUGAACAUUUUCAUUGUUGCAAAUUGCUCCCCCUUGGAUGUAUAUGCUUUCCUAUAUGAUUUUCAAUUUGUUUUAUAAAUUAUUUUACUUUCUUUCUUUACUUCUCCCCUUAUUACUCUUUCUUUACUUCUCCCCCUUUUUGUUACUCUAUUUACUUUUAUUUUUACUUCUCUCCUAUUUACUCUUUCUUUACUUCUCCCCCUUUUUGUUAUCAUCAAAUAGGUACAUGGGAAAAGAUGCAAUAAAUAACAACCAUUCAAACUUCAUUGAUCAAAAUAGGAACAUUUGAGUACAUUCAUGUCCAAAAAUAAAAACAAAUACAAUGUUCCUN
Molecule: long non-coding RNA, 1010 nt
Filed under: Phoenix dactylifera (date palm)
Lineage: Eukaryota; Viridiplantae; Streptophyta; Magnoliopsida; Arecales; Arecaceae
Description: long non-coding RNA (PDAC_LNC012127)
Source: RNAcentral